GACGCCACGGCUGCCAUUUUUUCCCUCGCCCUGCGGUUCCCCGCUGCUCCGUGGCUACGGCGUCCGCUCGGAGGAGGCCGGCCCAAAGAGAAAUGCCUGCGCUCAAGAGCCCCUGCAGUGAGGCCAGCUGUCUGGGGGACUUCCGUGGAGCUUUUCACGUGCGCCCGCCCGGUCACCCUCCCCCGCACGGGGGGCGAGACUCCUCCGUUCCUGGCCCAUUCAUUGUAGCCAUGGCGAAGCCGAGGCCGGAUAGAGCGGCCGGGCGCGUUAGAACUGGGACCAGCUGAGAUGCAAGAUGGACAGGAGGCAUUCCUGCGGCAGGUGGGGGGAGCAGGCAAGGGCGGCUGCCAGGGGAUGCUGCAGAAAGGGGCGGAGGGCUGUUCGCCUAUCCAGGUGUGCGCCAAGUGGGGCCACGUGUUAAACCCGAGAGGCCCAGGGGAGGCCUGCCUGGCGGCCUUACAAAGCUCGGAGACCUCGAGUCUUCAGACACGGGGUGGUCUGAAAUUAAGACUUAACUGAAAACAAGUCACGGUGUGAUAACACACCGUUGGAGUGUCAGCGUAUUCGGGGCAGUGCCCUCUUUCCCAGACCCCUCGGGGUGCAGCCUCCCUCCAGAGCCGUGUUCCCCGCACACUGGCCCUGCGUGCUGUAAAUAUGGACUGUUACCCGCCCUGUACCCGCCGCUGUGAAUGAAGCACGCGUCUCUCUGGUUUACUUGUUAUCAUUUCAGAGACUUCCCUUUCUUUUCUUUUUAAAUAAAUGACACGAACUGUUGAUA
This is a long non-coding RNA of Phyllostomus hastatus (greater spear-nosed bat), 778 nucleotides long. RefSeq lists it as uncharacterized. The record is from RefSeq and is a predicted model, not a curated record. The transcript is spliced from 2 exons. NCBI's taxonomy places the organism in Eukaryota, Metazoa, Chordata, Mammalia, Chiroptera, Phyllostomidae.